This is a long non-coding RNA of Brassica napus (rape), 297 nucleotides long. RefSeq lists it as uncharacterized. NCBI's taxonomy places the organism in Eukaryota, Viridiplantae, Streptophyta, Magnoliopsida, Brassicales, Brassicaceae. The transcript is spliced from 3 exons. The record is from RefSeq and is a predicted model, not a curated record.
UUAAGCAUACUAGGGCCGGCGUCCGCGCUGCGCGCGGAUUACAUGUUUAAUAAAAAUCAGGGGAGAAGUUCGAAACGGUGAUCAUUUUUUUUUAAAAAACAACUGAAGUGGUAACGUAAAUGUUUUAAAAGUUGACUGGUGGUGUUUGCUAUGAGGCUUAGGAUAGCAGUUUAUUCCUCUUUUGGAAGCGUUGAAUGAUAUCAAUUUCGUUGUUAAAGUAGAAGCGCGUUCCAGGUGUUGCUGUGAGUGAUAGUUUUUCUGAAAAAGGCAAAUAUUUGUUAGCAUUUAGUUUUUUGU